GCAGUUUUAAUUCGCGCGCUUAUGAUGGAAACCGUUACCUGAGCGGCGGCGAGGGUGCGCCCUUCCCCUGCGCUGCGUCGYGCUGGGCGCAGGAGAGUCCGGCCGGCUGGCGCCGGCGAGUCGCUCCGGAGGCUGCCGGGGGAGCCGACAUCCUUGCCCCGUCCCGCCCAGCUCGGGCGUUUGGGCUGCACCGUCCCUAUUGAUCGCUUCGGUCACCAAGAAAGGAUGUACCGAAUUCCAAAGAGUGUCGGGCCUUAUCGGGCAGCUGCUUCUACAGGCGCGAGGACACGAGGCAGCGCCGCGCCGGUCCGUGAUUAUUAGGAAAGAAGCAAGAAAAUCUUCAGCGGUAGAAAUCUGUGUAGGCCUAGUGCCUAUGCCCCGUUUCAUCAGGGGUAUGUCCUAUUCACUGGGAAAGUCAUGUAUGCAGAAUGUAUCAGGACUGACACUGACCUUCAUGUAAUCAGUUUGUUGAUUUUGUACUCCC
Molecule: long non-coding RNA, 484 nt
Filed under: Dromaius novaehollandiae (emu)
Lineage: Eukaryota; Metazoa; Chordata; Aves; Casuariiformes; Dromaiidae
Description: lncRNA (ENSDNVG00000014813.1)
Source: RNAcentral